UACGGAGGGUGCGAGCGUUAAUCGGAAUCACUGGGCGUAAAGCGCGCGUAGGCGGUCCGUUAAGUGGGAUGUGAAAUCCCCGGGCUUAACCUGGGAAUUGCAUUUCAAACUGGCAGACUAGAGUGCGGUAGAGGGAGGUAGAAUUUCCUGUGUAGCGGUGAAAUGCGUAGAUAUAGGAAGGAACACCAGUGGCGAAGGCGACCACCUGGACUGAUACUGACACUGAGGUGCGAAAGCGUGGGGAGCAAACAGG
Molecule: ribosomal RNA, 253 nt
Filed under: uncultured prokaryote
Description: partial 16S ribosomal RNA
Rfam family: Bacterial small subunit ribosomal RNA
Source: RNAcentral